RNAcentral lists this ribosomal RNA (305 nucleotides) under uncultured bacterium. RNAcentral describes it as "bacterial SSU rRNA". It matches the Rfam family "Bacterial small subunit ribosomal RNA", at positions 334 to 630 of the family's 1533-position model. The record is from RNAcentral.
AUGUACCUACGGGACGCAGCAGUAGGGAAUCUUCCGCAAUGGGCGAAAGCCUGAUGGAGCAACGCCGCGUGGGUGAAGAAGGUCUUCGGAUCGUAAAACCCUGUUGUUAGAGAAGAAAGUGCGUGAGAGUAACUGUUCACGUUUCGACGGUGUCUAACCAGAAAGCCACGGCUAACCACGUGCCAGCAGCCGCGGUAAUACGUAGGUGGCAAGUGUUAUCCGGAUUUAUUGGGCGUAAAGGGAACGCAGGCGGUCUUUUAAGUCUGAUGUGAAAGCCUUCGGCUUAACCGGAGUAGUGCAUUGGA